Molecule: long non-coding RNA, 5503 nt
Organism: Microplitis mediator
Lineage: Eukaryota; Metazoa; Arthropoda; Insecta; Hymenoptera; Braconidae
Exons: 4
Source: RefSeq, a predicted model, not a curated record
UUUUCUUGUCUAUGUAAUCCUUAUGGUGAAUAACACAUUUAUAUUGUAUAAUAUUACAUGAGUAAAUUGAUAUGUUAACAUAAUUUUCUAAUGAUUUAAGAAAAAAAUAUAAAAUGAACACAAAAAAAUGUUAUAUUCACGAAAUUAAAAUAUGUACAGAUUUCACGUCGGUAAAAUAAAACUUUAAUACUUAGUAUCUUUCACAGAUAAGGCUCGAACGAGCGAGGGCGCUUGUCUACCGGGAUGGAGUGUGUUACGUCUCAGCCUGUAUGGCAGAUGACGUAGGCUUUUACUUCCUUAAUUACCGACCUGAAACCUAAUCAAUUGUAUCGAAUAUCGAUAAUCUAGUAAUUCCAUUAAUAUUUAAAUAAUCAUAUAAACUAAUAUAAUAUAAUAAUAGAAUAAUAUUAUUUAAGAUAUUUGAACGUUAAGAAUAUGAGUAAUAUUUGAUAAACUUAUUUUUCUAAAUUUUAUCAAAUAUAAAUAAGCGCUGACGCCUCGAGUUAAUCCUCGAGACGUGCAGCUGCACAAAUAUCUAUUUUGUUUAAGAUAGCUUUUGUUAAUAGAUAAGUGACUCAUUUGUUAGUCACAAAAGUGGAGAGAUCGUGAGAACUAAGUAAUUUCAACAAAUAUUAGAAUGGAUCAUUCGAGAACAUGCGUUAUCUCGAAUGACCCCUCCAUAUGAAUCGAUGCGCGAGUCUGAUGCUCAAACGUAUUGAUAAGAGUUACUCUAGUUUUUCUCGAUCAAGAGAAGUCAGUCUAAAAUAUAUAAUCAUCGAGAGCAAUCAGGCUCAGGAUAGAACGCUUGACUUCGUUCUCACAUUUUUGAAGCUAUUGUUAAGAAUAACUUAAUAAUAUUAUCAUACCAGAAUUAUACGUUUUACAAAUUCUUUAACUAUCUCUUUAUUCAUUGACUAAAACAGAUCCAGAUAAUAUAUUUAAUAACAUAUAAAUAUAACCAGUUUAUUUCAACCACCAACUGGUGGCUGUUCAACCCAUAACUAAUUAUUAUUUAUAAUUAUAUGGGAUCAGACCGGUGGCCAAAUUUUGUAAAAGUCCAGGGGACUAAAUUUUAUUUUAUUAAGAUCCAGGGGAUCAGGCCGGUGGCCAUUUUCGUGAAAGUCCAGAAGAAAAAUUUUGUUUUAAUUAAAAGAUCCAGGGGAUCAGGCCGGUGGCCAAUUAAUCGUGAAAGUCCAGUGGACAAUUUUAAAUAAGAUCCAAGGGAUCAGGCCGGUGGCCAAUUCGUUAUAAAUUUCCAGGGGACUCGUUCGUGUAAUUAAUAAAAGUCCGGUGGACAAAAUUUUAGUUAAUUAGUUUGUAAGAAUAAGAAGUCCGGUGGACAGUUUUGUUAAAAAUAAUUAUAAAGUAUAAAAGCCCGGUGGUCAAAGUGAUAAUUGGUGAAUAAAAUUCAGUAAUUAUAUGAUUUAAAUUCUCCGGUUCUGGAAGGCCGAGUCCUAGCUUCCAGUGGCGCCCUUAUUAAGAUCAAUUAUUAAAGGGGCUAAACUUGCCAAGGUUGAGAUAUACCCUGUUAUAAUGCAUUGAGGCAGAAAUCAUUGUCAGUGAUCAAAAUCGAGAUUUGAAUGAGUUUUGACUUAGGUCAGAGCAAUAAUAUAUGGAAUAUCCAAGAAAAACAUUAAAGACUGGGUUUUUUAAAUUUUUUGCUGACAAUAUGUUUAAAAUUAAGGAACAAGUUAUAUGAAAUUAUCUGAUGAUCGAAAGAGUUGCGCCGAUAUCUUUUGAACUAAUCAACCAAUUUUGACGUGUGAGGUGGCAAUCGUCGCGUUUUCUUGAAUUCUAGAGCUGAUUAAAAUUAGAAAUCGAUCGGUUCAACCGUUUCGAAGAUAUUUGGAUAAAAUCGUUUUUAACCAUUUCUUUCUCCAACGAUAUCUCGCGAACAAAUCAACCGAUUGAGAUGGUUGUGGUCGCAUUUGACGCAGCUUAUAAAGUUCUAGAGCUGAUUAGAUUUUGAAGUCGAUCGUUUAACUCGUUUCUGAGAAAUCAAUAAAAAAAUUUUUUUUUUUUUCGUAAUUUGCCAACAUUUUCGAGUAAACUUGAUUGAAUGAUCUGAAAUUUCCAGGAAAGUUGACGGCCAACAAACUCUUUCGAUUGCCACCUUAAACAUCCAAAUCGGUUCAUUAGUUAAAAAGUUGCAAAGAGUUUACACACACACACACACACACACACACAUACUCGGACAUCAUUCUGACAAUAAUCAGAAUAGCUUCCUAGGACCUCAAAACGUCGACAUCUGAUAAAAACUCGAUUUUUGAAAAUCGGUGUAAAAACAAUAACUUCCCGAAUUUUUCGAAAAUCAUCGAUUUUCUUAGCGGGAAGUUAAAUAAAAAAUCUGUCUAUCGGUUGACCCUGCGGGCCAGCUCCAAAACUUCCCGCUGUUUUCGAGCUCGAAAACAUUGUUGUGGAUACAUUUUCGAGCUAUUCGAGCUUGAAAAAACUUUUGUGUGCCAUUGUUUUCGAAAAAAACAGAUUUUGGCAUUUCUUUCUCCCACGAUAUCUCAGGAAUGAAUUGACCAAUUUUGAUGGUUGAGGCGGCAAUCGGCGUAUUUCAUUGAGUUCUAGAGCUGAUAAAAUUUUGAAAUUGUUUGGUUCAGUUUUUUUCGAAGAUAUUCGGAAAAAACCGUUUUUUACCAUUUCUUUCGCCCGCGAUAACUCUCGAACGAAUACUCCGAUUGAGAUAGCUAAGGCGGCAAUCGACGCGUUUUAUCAAGUCCUAUAGCUGAUUAUAUUCUGAAGGUGAUCGUAUAAGUCGUUUCUAAGAAAUCAAUACAAAACUAAAAAAAACAAAUUUUUUUUUUCUCGUAAUUUACCAAUAUUUUCGAGUCUACUUGAUCAAACGAUCUGAAAUUUUCAUAAAAGUUGAUUGCCAACAAACAUUUUCGAUUGCCGCCUUAACCAUCCAAAUCGGUUCAUUAGUCAAAAAGUUAUAGACCGGUCACACACAUACAUACACACAUACACAAACACACAUAUACAUACAUACAUACAGACACUCGGACAUUAUUCUGAAAAUAGUCAGAAUAGCUUCCUAGGACCUCAAAACGUCGACAUCUGAUGAAAUUUCGAUUUUCGCAAAUCGGGGUGUAAACAAUAACUUCCCAAUUUUUCGAAAAUUGUCGAUUUUCUUAGCGGGAAGUUAAAAUUAGAAGUUUACUCGAUUAUAUCAAAACAGCUUGCAGAGUACGAUUAUAGAAUUGUUGUGGUCACACAAGCUCUUUUUUACAAGUUAAUCUUUCAUUAUUCAUCUGAUUUUUUAAUUUUUUUAUUUUGAGCUGAUUUUUUUUAAUAUUUAUAACUAAUUGAUACGAGUAAACUGUAAGAGAGAGAGAGAGAGAGGUCCAUUAUUUUUGUUCUAAUUAAUAAAUAAAAAAAAAAAUAAAAACGUCGGCUAACUUUAGUGUUAUUUUUUUAAAAUUGCAUUUUUAAUUUUUCAAAAUUAUUACAUGUUAAUUUUUGUUGUCAUGAUUUAUUUGUUAACAAAAGUUCUAAAAAUUGUAAAAUAUCUGCUUAAUUAAUUUUUAUGGCCUCAACAGCGCAGUCGGUCUCACUCAGUCUCAUACGCGUGGAUAAUGCUCUCGCGCUUCCACCCACAGAGGUAUCAAAAUUGAUUUUAGAGGAUGAUUGGCCCCUUGGAUCGGUCUGUCUUCUUGUCAAAGGUUUUAAAAUAGUUGUCUGGUGAACAUAUAUAAAAAUAGAGCAUUAGAAUUUACGUGAGGUUGGCUAAUUAUUUACGGAGCUUUAAAGCAUCUGCAAAGCAAUACGGCCGACGGAAAGUGUCUGGGAGUAUUGACGACUUAUUUUUCACUAUAUUAUUUAAAACAUACGUGAAAAUCAGCCAUGAGAAAUUAUGUGAAGUAAGUAAUGUUUUUAUGUACCUUGAUCACCUGAUACCUGCAAAUUGGCCGUUUAACUAAGCUAGCAGGUAGGCAUACGAUUGUAGUACAUACUAACGAUACUCAAUCGUCCACAUUUCGUCCGUCAGAAAAUACGUGACGUCUGCCGGCCCUGGGAUCUUGGACUAUUUGUGAUUUGGACGUCUCAUCAACAUUUAAUGAAGUCUUUAAGAAGUUCUCAAGAUGUCAAAUGAGCCACCUAGCGAACUCAGUAAGACGUCUGUAAAAAGAGUUCUCAAAGAGUUUUUUUUCUGACUUCGCAAAUCAGACUUAAGUAUGAGCUUACCAUGACGUCUCAAGGAGCUCUCAAUUUUGACUUCAUCUUGACUUCAAAGAAGUUCAAAGAAAGAAUACAUUUAGACGUCACAAAAAUGACGUCAUAUUUAUAGAGUCUUCAAGAACUCUUAAUUACGAGUUCUUAAAAACAAUACCAUUAAGAAGUCAUUAUAAGCCUUCUUUAGGACGCCUUCAAAGAAACGUCGUCAAGCAGUCAUUCCAGUUUGAAUGCUGUCUGAGUACACUUGGGGCUAUUAAAAAAAAUGUUUCGGAAAAAAUUUUGAAAAAUGAAAAAGCUUUCGAAUUUUGAAUUUUCAAAAACCGUCAAAAUUGUAUGGCGACAUCAAGUUUUGUGAUCAAAUUUUUUACUACACUACCCUUAAGCAACCUUAAAAGGUUCUGUAAAUCUCAGAGAGAUUUGUUUUUUGGAUUCAAAAUUAUAAAUUUUUUAAUUUCCGCAAAAAAAAAUUUUGUUUUUUUUCACUUCUGAGUCUAGCAUAGUUGAAAAAAACUAUUCUAUGAAUAAAAACAGAUUUCAAACGAUAGUUUAAAAUCGAGCUAAGUUAUAGCGAUGUAAAAGAAGGCCAUUCGAUUUACAUGCUUUAUAAAUGGGAAAAAUUUUAAAUGGAAAAGAGGUACUCAAAGUUAAUAUUAUGGGCUCAAGCUUUGAGGGAUUUUUUUCCGAUGUGUACAACGAUAUUUAGAGGUCAGCAAAAAGAAAUAGUUGACUUUUUUAAAGCACCCUAAUAUACAUUUAUAUAUAUGUAUAAUUUAUAUCAGUUAUACUUAUGUCGCUGUCUCAACGUCACAUUGAAGAGGAACAAGUUAUACGAUUAAAAUGUAUCUAUUUGAUUAAAUCUUCACACUAUUGGUUGAGCUCAAUAUCAAUAGUUAAGAAUUGCGCUUUUAGCAAAAUCCACGUGGGAAUUCAUUUUCUUAACUGAAUUCUCAUUUCUUUUUUUUGGGUCGAUUGUUCCGAUGUAGUAUCUUACAUGGCUUUCGGUGAAAAUUCAAACUCAUUUAAAUCCAUAUGAGAAUCGAGUAUAGAUUUCUGUAUCGAUUUUCACAAUGAUACAAACAUAAAAAAUUUAAGCAACUGUUGGCCCUGCGGGCCAUUCCCAAAACCUCCCUCAGCGAGCUCGGACACAUUAUUGUAAAUACGUUUUCGAGCUCUUUGAGUCCGAGAAUACUCUUCUGUCCAUGCUCAAACAAGUUACAUUUAAUGUUAAAGUUUGAAAAUUUAAGAAUCGAAAGUAAUUAAUGAACAAGCGUUUUUUAAAUAUUAAUUUCCGAUUAUGUUUGAUAAAAUGAAUGUGACC